Molecule: long non-coding RNA, 990 nt
Organism: Arachis ipaensis
Lineage: Eukaryota; Viridiplantae; Streptophyta; Magnoliopsida; Fabales; Fabaceae
Source: RefSeq, a predicted model, not a curated record
AUUUUGUCCCAAAAGAAAAAAAAAACCCUAGCCAGCCCCCAAUUUGCUCCCUGAAAAUCGUGUGCGGUGCGUUCUCCUCCGUCGGUCCAUCGUCUUCAUCCAUAGCUGUUGAUCCGUCAUCUUCAUCCAUAGCUUCUGUCGGUCUGUCGGUCUCUGAGGAUCUGCACUGAUUGAUCCGUCGAAGCCCUGUCCGCCACUCGACGCGCCUCGCCUUAUCUCGCCGCACCUUGCCUCACCUUGCUGCCUGCACACUCGAUCUGCCAGAACAGAUUGCGAUUCUUGGAGUUGGAAGCCCGGCUCCGGGAGUGGUGUCCGAGGGUGCAAAUACCAUGGAUGUAGGUAGGGCUGUGUUGGUUUAGAUAGAGCCCAGGACUAGGUUGGAUGCAGGGACUUGGGAGACUAUAGGGGUUGGUCUCAGUGCAAUUCGGCUGCAGUGGCUUGUCCAGAUUGACUUGUUGUUGCAGUUGAAGGGAAUUUUAGAUUCGGAUUUAGUGCCAUUGAAGUUGAGGCCUUCAACUAUGGCAAACUCCUUCAAUAAAUGACCUACAAGCUAACAUUAUAUGCAAACAUACUUGUCUUAUCACAAGCAUCUUGGAUGGCUAGGUAUUGGAUGCUUUGCUUAGUGGAGGAAAAUAUUUUGUUGUGGCAAAGACGGUGUGAUGAUGCGUUGUAUUCCCUGCUCACUUUUGGUGUUCGACGGCCUGUGCGUCACUUGGCAUUAGUUGCAAUGGCAAAGAUCAUAUUUAAGGGAGAUGGAAUAUCGGUUUAUGCUAGAGCAAGCAGCCUUUAGGGAUUUCUUUCUGAUGGUUCUUGUUACUAUAAGGAAAAUUCUUUUCUUCAAUAUACUUGUUUUUGAGUUUUUGUGAGCUAAAUUGGUUCUCUUGUUUGAGGAACUAUAUAGAACUCAAUUUUUGUAAACAAUUUUAGUUAUUAUUCGAUCAAUGAUUCUUGUUACCAUAUGCCAUAUGUAAGUUCUUUCAUUAUGUUGGU